UGAAGGGCCGCGGUAUACUGACCGUGCAAAGGUAGCAUAAUCAUUAGUCUUUUAAUUGGAGGCUGGUAUGAACGGUUGGACAAGAGUCAAACUGUCUCAAUGAUUAAUUUAAAACUUAACUUUCAGGUGAAAAGGCCUGAAUUUUUUUCAAAGACGAUAAGACCCUAUAAAACUUUACAUUACUUGGUAAAUUUUUAAAUUGUAUGUUUAACUCUUUUUUGCCAUAAUAUGUUUCAUUGGGGCGAUGAUAGUAUAAAUCUAACUGCUUUAUAUUUUAACAAAAAUAAUUGAAUAUAAAUGAUCCUGAAAUAUAGAUUUAAGAAAAAGCUACUUUAGGGAUAACAGCGUUAUUUUUUUUGAGAGUCCUUAUCGACAAAAAAGUUUGCGACCUCGAUGUUGAAUUAUAAUACCCCUCAG
RNAcentral lists this ribosomal RNA (417 nucleotides) under Paraxiopsis sp. MT-2019. Its description in RNAcentral is "partial large subunit ribosomal RNA". It matches the Rfam family "Bacterial large subunit ribosomal RNA", at positions 1924 to 2552 of the family's 2925-position model. The record is from RNAcentral. Lineage: Eukaryota; Metazoa; Arthropoda; Malacostraca; Decapoda; Axiidae.